GACGAACGCUGGCGGCGUGCUUGACACAUGCAAGUCGAACGGAAAGGCCCUGCUUUUGUGGGGUGCUCGAGUGGCGAACGGGUGAGUAACACGUGAGUAACCUGCCCUUGACUUUGGGAUAACUUCUGGAAACUGGGGCUAAUACCGGAUAGGAGCUCCUGCUGCAUGGUGGGGGUUGGAAAGUUUCGGCGGUUGGGGAUGGACUCGCGGCUUAUCAGCUUGUUGGUGGGGUAGUGGCUUACCAAGGCUUUGACGGGUAGCCGGCCUGAGAGGGUGACCGGCCACAUUGGGACUGAGAUACGGCCCAGACGCCUACGGGAGGCAGCAGUGGGGAAUAUUGCACAAUGGGCGGAAGCCUGAUGCAGCAGCGCCGCGUGCGGGAUGACGGCCUUCGGGUUGUAAACCGCUUUCGCCUGUGACGAAGCGUGAGUGACGGUAAUGGGUAAAGAAGCACCGGCUAACUACGUG
This 468-nucleotide ribosomal RNA is filed under the name uncultured bacterium. RNAcentral's name for it is "partial 16S ribosomal RNA". It matches the Rfam family "Bacterial small subunit ribosomal RNA", at positions 28 to 507 of the family's 1533-position model. The record is from RNAcentral.